Molecule: ribosomal RNA, 692 nt
Filed under: uncultured bacterium
Lineage: Bacteria
Description: bacterial SSU rRNA
Rfam family: Bacterial small subunit ribosomal RNA
Source: RNAcentral
AUUGAACGCUGGCGGCAGGCCUAACACAUGCAAGUCGAGCGAGAAAGGCCCUUCGGGGCUGAGUAGAGCGGCGGACGGGUGAGUAACGCGUAGGAAUCUACCCAGUGGUGGGGGACAACUUGGGGAAACUCAAGCUAAUACCGCAUACGCCCUACGGGGGAAAGCGGGGGACCUUCGGGCCUCGCGCCAUUGGAUGAGCCUGCGUUGGAUUAGCUAGUUGGUGGGGUAAAGGCCCACCAAGGCGACGAUCCAUAGCUGGUCUGAGAGGAUGAUCAGCCACACUGGGACUGAGACACGGCCCAGACUCCUACGGGAGGCAGCAGUGGGGAAUAUUGCGCAAUGGGGGCAACCCUGACGCAGCCAUGCCGCGUGUGUGAAGAAGGCCUUCGGGUUGUAAAGCACUUUCACUUGGGAAGAAAAGCUGACGGUUAAUACCCGUGAGCCGUGACAUUACCUUGAGAAGAAGCACCGGCUAACUCCGUGCCAGCAGCCGCGGUAAUACGGAGGGUGCGAGCGUUAAUCGGAAUUACUGGGCGUAAAGCGCGCGUAGGUGGUUUGUUAAGUCGGAUGUGAAAGCCCCGGGCUCAACCUGGGAACUGCACCCGAUACUGGCCGACUAGAGUGCGGGAGAGGGAGGUAGAAUUCCACGUGUAGCGGUGAAAUGCGUAGAUAUGUGGAGGAAUACCGGUGGC